RNAcentral lists this ribosomal RNA (701 nucleotides) under uncultured Staphylococcus sp. RNAcentral describes it as "bacterial SSU rRNA". It matches the Rfam family "Bacterial small subunit ribosomal RNA", at positions 57 to 740 of the family's 1533-position model. Lineage: Bacteria; Bacillati; Bacillota; Bacilli; Caryophanales; Staphylococcaceae. The record is from RNAcentral.
GCAAGUCGAGCGAACAGACGAGGAGCUUGCUCCUCUGACGUUAGCGGCGGACGGGUGAGUAACACGUGGAUAACCUACCUAUAAGACUGGGAUAACUUCGGGAAACCGGAGCUAAUACCGGAUAAUAUAUUGAACCGCAUGGUUCAAUAGUGAAAGACGGUUUUGCUGUCACUUAUAGAUGGAUCCGCGCCGCAUUAGCUAGUUGGUAAGGUAACGGCUUACCAAGGCAACGAUGCGUAGCCGACCUGAGAGGGUGAUCGGCCACACUGGAACUGAGACACGGUCCAGACUCCUACGGGAGGCAGCAGUAGGGAAUCUUCCGCAAUGGGCGAAAGCCUGACGGAGCAACGCCGCGUGAGUGAUGAAGGUCUUCGGAUCGUAAAACUCUGUUAUUAGGGAAGAACAAAUGUGUAAGUAACUAUGCACGUCUUGACGGUACCUAAUCAGAAAGCCACGGCUAACUACGUGCCAGCAGCCGCGGUAAUACGUAGGUGGCAAGCGUUAUCCGGAAUUAUUGGGCGUAAAGCGCGCGUAGGCGGUUUUUUAAGUCUGAUGUGAAAGCCCACGGCUCAACCGUGGAGGGUCAUUGGAAACUGGAAAACUUGAGUGCAGAAGAGGAAAGUGGAAUUCCAUGUGUAGCGGUGAAAUGCGCAGAGAUAUGGAGGAACACCAGUGGCGAAGGCGACUUUCUGGUCUGUAAC